This 1093-nucleotide long non-coding RNA is filed under the name Phasianus colchicus (ring-necked pheasant). Its description in RNAcentral is "lncRNA (ENSPCLG00000020641.1)". The record is from RNAcentral. Lineage: Eukaryota; Metazoa; Chordata; Aves; Galliformes; Phasianidae.
CAAGCCCAAGAGCUAGAAAUGUCUUUUCAUUCUUGAACAGAAAUUGCACUUUUAAUGGAAUCACAUGAAGUCAGAAGCUGUGACUUUAUGAAAAUACUCUAAAAGCUGUGAGGUCUCGGCAAUGAUGCCCACAGGGAAGGGUCUCUGGGGAGUGCAGCAGAACAGUCCCCCUGCACCCCAACAUCCCCAGCCCCAUUGCUAGGUGCAUGCUGGGACUGGUGUUCCCUCAUUUUCCUCUUUUUAAAGAGAUUCCCUUCUGUAGAAGGCCCUUCUCAGACUGUGCUUGACUGUCCCAUUCUGUGUUCACUCUCUUCUGGGUUCCUCUGCACGACCAGAAGAAUAACUACAGUUGUUGCAUCCUAGUUCCUCCCCUUACAUUGUGAUGGCAAGCCCAGGUCCAAUUCCAUUCCUACUGCACUGUCCAUACUUUGUCUUUCCAGAGCACUGUCACAUUCUCUAAGCCUAAUUCUGAAAAAUCUAAAUUGUACUCACAGGGGAAGUAAGCAGAAGAUCCUUCAGCUGAGAUUACAUGGGCUAAUCCCAGUAAUAAUGAUCUGUGAAGGGAUAUAAAAGAUCAAAUGUCGGAUAGAGAAUAGGAAAACUGAAGAUACGGGUGUUCACCAAGAAAGGAGCAGAGCUGUAAGCUCUUCUUAACAAGUUUUCAAAGCAGAUGUCUUUAAAUCCUCCACAAAACCACUGAACUCCUGCCAUUUCUGGAGACCUGGUGUUUCACGGGAAGAAGAGAAGAGGCAGGCAGGCCAGGAUCCCACUCCCCUCACACAUUAAAUGCAUACACAUACACGUGCACAACGCUUCUUAAAAUGAAUGAGUCUACAUAAAGAUUGGCUUUCAAUUUGUCCAAUAACCAUUGUGGUACACAACAAAUUUAAGCCUGCACAAUUGGACAUAUUUUACUUGCUGUACAAGCAGAGAUAUCAGCGAGAGACUGGCACGAAGAGGAGGGACAGGUUCUCCCAGCAAGCAAGGACAGAUUGCUUCUGUUUUUUUGUUUAGUCUUUUCAACAGGAGAAAAAUAAUACCCAGCACCUUGUUAUUAGCAGUGCAAUAAAAAAAUCUAAUCAUGUGAAAUUCA